Long non-coding RNA from Capsicum annuum, 4343 nucleotides. RefSeq lists it as uncharacterized. The record is from RefSeq and is a predicted model, not a curated record. Lineage: Eukaryota; Viridiplantae; Streptophyta; Magnoliopsida; Solanales; Solanaceae. The transcript is spliced from 8 exons.
AUACUUAUUUUCAAGGGUAAAAUGAUAAUAUUAUUUUUUUAACCAAACCACAAGCUUUCCGUUUCCUUCCAGAUCUUUCCCGUUGUAUCUCUCUUUCCAUCUUCUUCCCCAAGCUCUGCAAUUAUGGAUCCAAACAACAAUAAGAGCAUUAAAUUCUCAGCCACAGAAUUUGAUGAGUUCUUUGCCAGAGAAAGAAGUUCUACCAUCUGUGGAUAAUGAAAUUGAAUCACCAAAAGAUGAGUCUCUGGAUGAGGGACCUACAAUGGUGUAUUUGGAAGGCAAAUUACAAGUAGAAACUCUUCGGAGUGAUUCCUUGAUGGUUUAACUUCAGGCAUCAGAGAAAACAAUCAAAAUCCUGGAAAAAGAAAUAAAAAAUCUCAGACAGUCAAAGGGGAUGAUGGAGGAUCAAAUUGAGAAAGAAAAGAUGAUGAAAGAAGACCUUGAGAUGCAAUUCAAAGCAGCUAAACUGGAACUGAAUGAAUCUUGUCUAAAGGCCUGCUCUUUAGAAAACAAACUCAACCAAAAUAAGUCCAAUAAGAAGCUCGAUUCUACAUGCAAUUUGCUUCACCUACAGCAAGAAAGCACAAAAAAAUGGAGUUACUGAAAAAUGCUGAGGUGGACCCUGAAGAAAAGCUUCUUCAAAGUGAUUCGGAGAUCUCUGCAGCUUUAAAAAAGUUGGCUGAGUGACAAGAAACUAUUCUGAACCUAGGAAAGCAAUUGAAGGCAUUGGCCUCACCGGAGGAUCCAGCUCUAUUUGAUAAGGUGAUAUCUACAACUUCAGAAACAACUACUGCUCCCAUGACAACCCCAAAGAAAAGUUUUGGACGUCGUUCAUCUCUUCUUGACAAGAUGUUGGCUAAGGACUACGAAAUAGGUUCUCAUACGGCCAAGUAAGUCAUUCUGGAUGCCAAGAGAAAUACUUCUUCCAGUAUUGAGGGAUCAAUGAAACAACUAGAAAAGUCUCUAUUGACAAAUGAGAGUACAAACUCAAGAAAUGAAGUGGUUACUGGCUCCCAUCCUAUCGUACCUAGCAAGAAAAAAAAUGUUCUUGGAUUGUGGAGGAAGUUGUUGCGAAAAGGUUGAAGUGAAGACAAGAGAUUGAAGAGCUGUGAAUAUCCAUUUGUUUUGCAGCCGCAGACCAGGCCUCGUACUCUCAAUAGUGAGGGCUCUCGAUAACGUUGGCCUGGACAUCCAACAAGCUGUUAUCAGCUACUUCUCAAUGGGUUUGCCUUAGAAAUCUUCAGAGCUAAGGGAUUUGGGCAAUACUAAUAUUUCUGGAAGUUUAGGACCAGAGCUUGUUGAACUCAAGAAUCUACAGUGCUUGUAUUUUUCUUUGUUUAUCUCUUUUCUUGUUCUUUUGUUUCUUGUCUCAGAUUAGUGUAUCUCCUGCUGCAUGUACUGAAACCGUGGAGAAAGUAAUGGAAAAGUAAUAUAAAAGGGGCAUUUUUUAGACAAAGAUAUAUGCCUGGAUUACUGUCACAUGAUUAAUGUUGUUUCUCUCUUUGAUUUUGUGUGCUUACUUCACUUGCAAGUCUAUCUAUCUAUUGUCUUUUAAGGUGACGGACAAACUUUAUCCAGAAUUGCAGGGAACUUUAUAGUAACAACGUUAAAGGUAAAAUUCCAAAGGAAUUGGGUAAUCUGGAAAAUCUUGUUAGCAUGGACCUAUAUGGAAACAAAUUUGAAGGCAACAUUCCAAAAUCUUUUGCUAAAUUAAAGUCUCUUAGAUUUUUGUAAGUAUUCGUAUGAAAUAAGUCAUGAGUUUGACAAUUUUGAGCCGAUAUUUGAUGUUAUAAAGAUCAUUCAAUCUUUUUCAUGUUAUGACUACGGGCGGUUAAAUGACAAUAAACUAACUGGUUCGAUUCCAAGGGAACUUACAACCCUUCCCAACCUCACUCUUUCCUAUGGAAGGGUAUUCACACUUGUCAUUUUUUCUUCCUUAUUGAAAUUUCACUUACAUUUUUACUGAUGAUCUAACUAUCCUUUGAUAUGGUACUGGUUCACUAAUGCCCGAUUUAUUGGCGAAAGUUUCUUAGCUUCAUUCUGUAACUGUUUUACUCGGGGGAGGAGAAUUCUAUUGAAUGACCGGUUGCAUCAUGCUUAGAAUGUGCUUUAAGGCUCAUAGGCACAGGUUCUGAAUGCACAGCCUUGCAUUAUUGAGCUUGAUCCUACCUACUGCAAAAAUUAAGUUCCGUCGAGUCAUUAGUUAGUAGUUGUUGUUGAAAAGAAAAGGUCAUUAGUUAGUAGUUGGUGACUUUGGUAAAAUUCUAAACUUACUGCAAGAGGUGAGUUAAUAUUUGUUUCUUUGUUCUUUUGUGUGGUUUAUAAGAGACAAAGGAUGGAAUACAGCGGGGCAAUAGAAUCAACAGAAUUGUACUGUUUACAACGUUCACCCUUUGCGGUUUGCUGCUGGAUUCAAGUUGGAUAACCUCCUCAAACUAAAUGACACCCGUCCAUGAAGCAAUAAGAUGACUCUCAUGCAUUAUCUUUGCAAGGUAAAGAUCUUCCCUCGAAAAAUAGAUUGACGAGAUCAGAAUAAUGGGGUUACAAAUUUUCCCCGUAUUUCCUGUAGUGUGCGGAUGCAAUGUUUACUGCUAGAAUUUUCAUCUUAUUGAUAUCAUUUUUUCCUCUAAUACUUGAUCUUAGCAAGCACAAUAAUCCUCCUUGACAAUUAAGGUUUCUUUAAGGUGGCUAUGCAACGUGAUAAUUUGAGGUCUUAUCUUACCUAUCAUCUCAAAACAAAAGGAUGAAAAAACUAAUGGUUUUAUCAUGGCAAAGGGCAUGUUGAAUUAACUUUUCCUUAUGCUAGUGACAAUCAUCUUUCACAUAAUGCUUUAUGAAAUUAUUAUUAUUCGACAGAUACUUGCUGACAAGUCGCCUGAACUACUCGACUUUUCUAAAGAUAUUUCCAGCUUGGAACCUGCAUUAAAUAUUCCUCCAUAUUCCCAAGUUAUAAUCUGUUAAGCUCUGUUCUCAAAAGUUAAACCAUUUGAGACAAAUCAUAACUCACCUAACCAUUUGAUACAAAUUGUACCUCUUGAACUCUAAAUAUGGCUACAUCUUGUAAGAAGGGAAGAUUAUAUAAGUUGCUUCUUGCUCUAAGUGUUUCCCUCUUCGCCUCCAUUUGCAUGUAUGGACUUCCUUUUCUUGCUAAAUGCAAGCCUUGUGAUUUAUCCCUAUCAGAGUCUUGUCCUGGCAAUAGAGAGAGAGGAAACUUCAAACAAUGCAACUGCCCAAAUGGUUACUACAAUGAGUUGGCCACUCUUAUUCUUACAACAAAGGAGGACGCGAUCAGAAAUAUUUUCUCCCUAAACACUGCCACUGAAUUCUAAGACACAUCACUUCUCAUCUUCUUUUUGUUGUAUUGUAUCUUGGGAGUUAUUACUGUGGGGAUUGUUGUGUCAUCUGGUCUCUUCAUCCAAAUAAUCCUCAUGGGUUCAGGAUAUGGUCCCUUACUUGGCAUUGCCAUGAGACCUUACACAAAAAUUGAUCAGGGGUUGUAUGUUGUUCUUGGAGCAUCUUCCCUUAUGGCUGGUUCAAUGAGAAUGACAGUUACUGUUUGUAUCAUAUUUCUUGAGCUGACAAACAAUCUUCUUCUUCUGCCAAUAACAAUGUUUCUCCUCCUAAUUGUUAAAAGUGUGGCAAACUGCUUCAACAUCUAUGAAAUAAUGUUGGAAUUAAAAGGCCUACCUUUCGUGGAAGCACAUCCUUAGCCAUGGAUGAGGAAUAUCACAGUUGGUGAGCUUGCUGAAGUAAGGCCACCAGGGGUUACAGUUAACGGAAUUGAGAAAGUGAGACGAAUCGUAGAGGUUCUAAAAUACACCACACACAAUGGAUUCCCUGUUGUAGAUGUAGUGAUUACCCGAAUUGCAUGGACUUAUCUUAAGAACUCACCUUCUUUUGGUGCUCAAGAAGAAAGUGGUUCUUGCAUGCGAGGAGAAUAAAAGAUUGUGAAGUAGGGAAGAAAUUCACAUGGAUUGGAGUCUUGUGUACUUCUCUUGUUGGCAUUUCCAGUGGUUGGAAUCUUGACCAGACAAGACCUAAAGGCCUGCAACAUUUUGAAUGUUUUCCCCCAUCUGGCAAAGUCUUAACAGUAACAAAAAUGGGCACUGAACUUUUCAAUCGAGAAAAUAGUGCAUUUACCAAUAUAAAUAGGCAACAAUCACCAUGAUAUGUGAAUUUCAUGGGAGCAUCCAGUCGUAUGAUAUUCCUAUGCCUCUACAAAACAUACAUUUGGGAUCUUAUGUUUAUGAUGAUGAUAUUGUUAAAUAUUCAAAUGUAUUUAUAUAUGCAACAGUUAGUUUAUAUUGAUCUUUAUAUACACGAUUAUUAAGAUUCAUAGCAAA